Molecule: long non-coding RNA, 550 nt
Filed under: Capra hircus (goat)
Lineage: Eukaryota; Metazoa; Chordata; Mammalia; Artiodactyla; Bovidae
Description: lncRNA (ENSCHIG00000007535.1)
Source: RNAcentral
GGAAACUCUAAGAAUGCCACCAGGGCAAUAAGAGAGACACCCCCUUGAACAUUGUGAGAGUGAAGUCACUCAGCCUUUCCGACUCUUUUCAACCCUGUGGACUGUGUCCAUUGGAUUCUCCAGGGUGGAGUCCAUCAACAAAGUUCCGGUGGAUCCCUCUGUUCCCAAACUGGCCGCCUGAUGAAUCUUCCUGAAGCAUGGCUUGGGGAAUGGCACUCCAUUAUCCCAAAACCUUCAAUGUACUGCCUGCUCAGUUGAGCCCAAGUUCUGGCACAAAGAUAUGCCAGGUAGCACCAACCGAUCUUUCCAACUGGACGCCAAUAUUCCUGUGCCAUGACCAUCCUGGCUUGACAACACAGAGACAAGAAGACUCCCCUGCCCAAACUGGAGGAGGAACUGAUGAUGGAAAUUUGACAUCUACUCAAGAAUGAGGAAGAAAGUGGUCUUUCCCCUCUCCUCACUUUUCCUUUGAUUAUAAAACUGUAGCCUACUAAGUUCUCAGGGUGUGGUACUCUCUUACUUGCCUCUUGUAAGCCUCACAAGUGUCCUA